UUAAGAUGUAAAAAAUGGAGGAUUAAUAGUUAUGUUCUUUAAACUUAAAAAAAUUGGCGGUAUUUAAAUCUAAUUAGGGGAAUUUGUCUUUUAAAUGAUAAUCCGCAAGAAACCUUACUUUAAUUUAUUUAAUUUGUUUAUUGCCGUUAACAGAUUAUUUUAUAAGAAAAAUAAAUUUUCAUAUUUUAUUAUAAUAAAAUAUUUCAGGUCAUUAUGUAGUUUAUAUUAAAGUUAAGAUGAAUUACAUUAAAUUAAUAUUUAUGGAGAUUUAAUUGAAAAAUUAAAUUGAAAAUGGACUUAAUAGUAAAAUAAAAUAUUAUAUUUAUUUGAAUUUAGAAUUAAAUAUGU
Molecule: ribosomal RNA, 348 nt
Filed under: Nematus sp. Sus7
Lineage: Eukaryota; Metazoa; Arthropoda; Insecta; Hymenoptera; Tenthredinidae
Description: partial 12S ribosomal RNA
Source: RNAcentral